GAUGAACGCUGGCGGCGUGCCUAAUACAUGCAAGUCGAGCGAACAGACGAGGAGCUUGCUCCCCUGACGUUAGCGGCGGACGGGUGAGUAACACGUGGAUAACCUACCUAUAAGACUGGGAUAACUUCGGGAAACCGGAGCUAAUACCGGAUAAUAUAUUGAACCGCAUGGUUCAAUAGUGAAAGACGGUUUUGCUGUCACUUAUAGAUGGAUCCGCGCCGCAUUAGCUAGUUGGUAAGGUAACGGCUUACCAAGGCAACGAUGCGUAGCCGACCUGAGAGGGUGAUCGGCCACCCUGGAACUGAGCCACGGUCCAGACUCCUACGGGAGGCAGCAGUAGGGAAUCUUCCGCAAUGGGCGAAAGCCUGACGGAGCAACGCCGCGUGAGUGAUGAAGGUCUUCGGAUCGUAAAACUCUGUUAUUAGGGAAGAACAAAUGUGUAAGUAACUAUGCACGUCUUGACGGUACCUAAUCAGAAAGCCACGGCUAACUACGUG
Molecule: ribosomal RNA, 497 nt
Filed under: uncultured bacterium
Lineage: Bacteria
Description: partial 16S ribosomal RNA
Rfam family: Bacterial small subunit ribosomal RNA
Source: RNAcentral